This 71-nucleotide transfer RNA is filed under the name Methana sp. AUS1. RNAcentral describes it as "tRNA-Trp". It matches the Rfam family "tRNA". From Rfam's summary of the family: Transfer RNA (tRNA) molecules are approximately 80 nucleotides in length. Their secondary structure includes four short double-helical elements and three loops (D, anti-codon, and T loops). The record is from RNAcentral. Lineage: Eukaryota; Metazoa; Arthropoda; Insecta; Blattodea; Blattidae.
AAGGUUUUAAGUUAAAUUUAAACUAAUAUCCUUCAAAGCUAUAAAUAAAGAUUAAAAUUCUUUAAGCCUUA